UUGCGGCUGGAUCACCUCCUUUCUAAGGAUCAUGGCGGAUAGAGCUGCUCACGCACUCUUCCUCCUGUCCAAAGAACAUUGCCGCCGUCCUCAUGUCCCUUCAUCCUGGAAACAUCUUCGAGAAGAAGAUGCAGCCUGAGCUGGCUCACGCCGCCUGCGGCCAUUUGGCCGGCUAGGUACGAGCGGGGGCCGGUAGCUCAGGUGGUUAGAGCGCACGCCUGAUAAGCGUGAGGUCGGAGGUUCGAGUCCUCCUCGGCCCACCAUCUCGGCGAUUGGUUCAGCUCGCGAGUGCGAACAUUGUGAACAUUCGCUGUGGGGCCUUAGCUCAGUUGGGAGAGCGCUAGCUUUGCAAGCUUGAGGUCAUCGGUUCGAUCCCGAU
RNAcentral lists this transfer RNA (379 nucleotides) under uncultured Novosphingobium sp. Its description in RNAcentral is "partial 16S-23S ribosomal RNA intergenic spacer". The stretch from base 187 to 260 matches the Rfam family "tRNA". Lineage: Bacteria; Pseudomonadati; Pseudomonadota; Alphaproteobacteria; Sphingomonadales; Sphingomonadaceae. The record is from RNAcentral.